ACAGUCACACAUUAGAUACCCCCGUAGUCCCAGCCCUAGACGAUGCGCGUUAGGUGUAUCGGUGACCACGAGUCACCGAGGUGCCGAAGGGAAACCGUGAAACGUGCCGCCUGGGAAGUACGGUCGCAAGGCUGAAACUUAAAGGAAUUGGCGGGAGCACCACAACGGGUGGAGCCUGCGGUUUAAUUGGACUCAACGCCGGGAAGCUCACCGGAUAAGACAGCGGAAUGAUUGCCGGGCUGAAGACCCUGCAUGACCAGCUG
Molecule: ribosomal RNA, 263 nt
Filed under: uncultured archaeon
Lineage: Archaea
Description: partial 16S ribosomal RNA
Rfam family: Archaeal small subunit ribosomal RNA
Source: RNAcentral